This 466-nucleotide ribosomal RNA is filed under the name uncultured bacterium. Its description in RNAcentral is "partial 16S ribosomal RNA". It matches the Rfam family "Bacterial small subunit ribosomal RNA", at positions 28 to 507 of the family's 1533-position model. The record is from RNAcentral.
GAUGAACGCUGGCGGCGUGCUUAACACAUGCAAGUCGAACGGAAAGGCCCAAGCUUGCUUGGGUACUCGAGUGGCGAACGGGUGAGUAACACGUGGGUGAUCUGCCCUGCACUUCGGGAUAAGCCUGGGGAACUGGGUCUAAUACCGGAUAGGACCACAUUUUGGAUGGUGUGGUGGAAAGUUUUUCGGUGUGGGAUGAGCUCGCGGCCUAUCAGCUUGUUGGUGGGGUAAUGGCCUACCAAGGCGUCGACGGGUAGCCGGCCUGAGAGGGUGUACGGCCACAUUGGGACUGAGGGACGGCCCAGGCCGCGACGGGGGGGAACAGUGGGGAAUAUUGCACAAUGGGCGCAAGGCGGAUGCAGAGACGCCGCGUGGGGGAUGACGGCCUUCGGGUUGUAAACUCCUUUCGCUAGGGACGAAGCGUUAUGUGACGGUACCUGGAGAAGAAGCACCGGCUAACUACGUG